AUAUAAAGACCAAUCACAGAGACUCGCGGUCUCAGUCGGGUCUUUUGAGCACAUAGAAGGCGGGAACUACUCGUCCACGGAGCUGUCGCGCUUUGGCGGUGUCCAGGGUCUUGGCAAUACGGAAAUACACGAGGAUACCGAAGGCGAUGAUCUAUGGACU
RNAcentral lists this unclassified non-coding RNA (160 nucleotides) under uncultured fungus. RNAcentral's name for it is "sequence contains ITS1". Lineage: Eukaryota; Fungi. The record is from RNAcentral.